AUGGUAUUUGACAAAGAAAGGAAAAUGUAUUCUAAACAUAUCAUGGUUGCAACGGCAACUGGUGUUGCCCCUUUCCGCAGUAAUAUCCAAGGCAUAUUUUUAUCUAAAAUACUAGGAAAUACUGAUAAUAUCUGGUUGAUCUCCGGGGCUGACAACUAUAACAGUCUUUUAUACGACAAGGAAUUCAUUCAAGUUCAAAAUAACAAUAUUGAUCGCUUCAAAUAUCAGAGGGCCUUGAAUAACUCUGUGGAUGAUGUCAUCUACCAAAGCGGCGAUGAAAUUUUCAAACUUUUGGAAACUGGUGCAUAUAUAUAUAUAUCGCUGGAUCAAAUACCAUGCUACCUGGAAUUAAGGCAACAUUCGCCAAGAUUGCUCAAGAAAGAGGUGUGGAUUGGGAUGAAAUGCUAAGAGAGCUGCAGAGCACUAAUCACUGGCGUGUUGAAGUUUACUAGCUAGCUAGAUAACUUAAAUCCAAUGGUUUUAUGUUAAAAUUGGUGGCAGUGACAUUUAGUAUUAUUAAUGUCUUUUUAUCUAAUAUUGUUUAAAUAAUAAAUGCCAUCUACAUCCGCCUGA
Molecule: long non-coding RNA, 573 nt
Organism: Dioscorea cayenensis subsp. rotundata (Guinea yam)
Lineage: Eukaryota; Viridiplantae; Streptophyta; Magnoliopsida; Dioscoreales; Dioscoreaceae
Exons: 2
Source: RefSeq, a predicted model, not a curated record